UAUGUACACGACGUCGUUUGAAAACUUUGUUUCCAGUCAAUGUAUGUGUGCAUGUAUUAAAGCGUUUUUCAUUCAAUGUUACAGGAAGCUGUAAGGCGCCUCCACAAUUCGGAAAACAACCCACAAAAAUAUGAUCCACAAACUGGAAUAAGUUCUCCUCGUAACCAAGCAGUCAUGACUUAUCUGCUAGAGGAACUGAGAACAACUUUUGCAGAUGCAGACCCUGAGUGUAUACAAGCGUGUUGCAAGACAUACUUUGAGACACUUCGGAGAAAGUACAAUUAAAACAGGAGCUAAAAACUGACAAAGGAAAAGACGAUUGCUGGAUUCCAGGUCCAAGGUUGUUCAAACAGAUGCAGAGAGAGAGCUUUGGCGGACUGCAACCGUGGAGCUGAUGUCUGAUGAGGAGGAUGCCAUUGUUGAUGGAAGGCCAGUGUGGAUUGUGAGGUCUCCAUCUCACAGGAACCCACAAUUGUCAGAACUUUGU
Megalobrama amblycephala (Wuchang bream) is the source of this 487-nucleotide long non-coding RNA. RefSeq lists it as uncharacterized. The record is from RefSeq and is a predicted model, not a curated record. The transcript has 4 exons. NCBI's taxonomy places the organism in Eukaryota, Metazoa, Chordata, Actinopteri, Cypriniformes, Xenocyprididae.